UGGCGACCGGCGCGCGGGUGAGUAACGCGUAUCCAACCUGCCCUUUACUAUGGGACAGCCCGUCGAAAGGCGGAUUAAUACCGUAUGUUGUCAUGUUGAUGCAUAUUUUCAUGACCAAAGGCUUCGGCCGGUAAAGGAUGGGGAUGCGUCUGAUUAGCUUGCCGGCGGGGUAACGGCCCACCGGGGCGACGAUCAGUAGGGGUUCUGAGAGGAAGGUCCCCCACAUUGGAACUGAGACACGGUCCAAACUCCUACGGGAGGCAGCAG
RNAcentral lists this ribosomal RNA (267 nucleotides) under uncultured bacterium. Its description in RNAcentral is "partial 16S ribosomal RNA". It matches the Rfam family "Bacterial small subunit ribosomal RNA", at positions 89 to 354 of the family's 1533-position model. The record is from RNAcentral.